Molecule: long non-coding RNA, 515 nt
Filed under: Monodelphis domestica (gray short-tailed opossum)
Lineage: Eukaryota; Metazoa; Chordata; Mammalia; Didelphimorphia; Didelphidae
Description: lncRNA (ENSMODG00000044026.1)
Source: RNAcentral
CUACUUUGUAUAUAGAAAUAUAUUUUUCUUUUUCUCUAUAGCUUCCAAUUCUUUGCUGCUACAAAAAGUUCUGUUAUAAAUAUUUUGGUGUAUAUGGGGUCUUCCUUUUGAUAUUCACCUCUCUAGGGUAAAUUCAGAAUAAAAAAAUAAAAUUUUUUGGAAAAAUUUAAAACAAAAAAUAUAGUAUUGACAUAGUGGUAUGUUUUGAUAACUCAUCUGGCAUCUUAAGGUUCCUUUUCAGAGAUAUUAAUCUAUCUAAUAGCACAUUCUGUGUUUGUCCAUCCUUUUCUUCCAAUCAGCUAUCCUGUGUGAUAUUUCAAAAAAAACAACACUUCCAUCAUUAUUUCAAGAGGAUCAGACAACAAACUACUCAGAAUUGUCCUUCUUCCUCCCAAUCCUCUUUUCCUCUGGAACACAGAACGAGACCCCUCAAGUCAUGAUUAAGAAUUCACUUGCUAGCCAGAGAUCUCAAAGGUCCAAUGACCCAAGAAUUUGAAUUGGAAGGGACCUUAAAG